AGAGAUUCCUGCAGGGUCAGGAGCAGGGCUGAAGUCCCCAAAGUAGGCUGUGCCUCAGAAAAAAAAAAUGUUUCUUUUCUAGAUGUGGAACCCUGGGAGAACUAAGGUGAUUUCAGAAGAGUUUUUGGGCAAAGAAAACAUCACAAAAGGAAAUCAGUGUAAUGGUACAAAACAGAGGUACAGAGCUGUGCAGAGAAAGCAGGAAGUGAAGUAUCUCCCUACUCCCUUGAGUCUACUCAUCUGACCCUUUGGUGUUGACUUCAUUUGGUAAGCCCCAUCUUCAGAUGACAGAUUACUAAAAACAAUGAGGAGUUUUUAUCCUUUGGUUUUGUUUAGGAGUCUUCAAGAUGC
This 351-nucleotide long non-coding RNA is filed under the name Bos taurus (domestic cattle). RNAcentral describes it as "long non-coding RNA NONBTAT014298". The record is from RNAcentral. Lineage: Eukaryota; Metazoa; Chordata; Mammalia; Artiodactyla; Bovidae.